This is a long non-coding RNA of Dioscorea cayenensis subsp. rotundata (Guinea yam), 164 nucleotides long. RefSeq lists it as uncharacterized. NCBI's taxonomy places the organism in Eukaryota, Viridiplantae, Streptophyta, Magnoliopsida, Dioscoreales, Dioscoreaceae. The transcript is spliced from 3 exons. The record is from RefSeq and is a predicted model, not a curated record.
AAUCAGAGGAUGGAAGCAGUGCCUAUGUUAAUGAUCAUUCAACAAACCAAGAUGCUAUUUGUUCUCUAUCUUUAAAAGCUGCUAAUGUCGCUUCUCGGUGGCUGGAUUUGCUUCAGCAGGAUAUCAAAGGACGUCUGGCUGCACUGCGACGUAGUAAGAAGAGG